AACGAACGCUGGCGGCAUGCCUAACACAUGCAAGUCGAACGAGACCUUCGGGUCUAGUGGCGCACGGGUGCGUAACGCGUGGGAACCUGCCCUUAGGUUCGGAAUAACUCCCCGAAAGGGGUGCUAAUACCGGAUAAUGUCUUCGGACCAAAGAUUUAUCGCCUUUGGAUGGGCCCGCGUUGGAUUACCUAGUUGGUAAGGUAACGGCUUACCAAGGCGACGAUGCGUAGCUGAACUGAGAGGGUGAUCGGCCACACUGGCACUGAGACACGGUCCAGACACCGGAGGGAGGCAACAGAAGAGAAUCUUACGGAAGGGGGGAAAGGGGGACAGAGGAACGCGGCGUGAGGGAUGAAGGAGCUAGGAUCGGAAAGCUCUGAUGUUAGGAGGGAACAAAAGUGUAAGUAACUGUGAAGGUAAUGACGGUACCGGGAGAAAAAGCCACGGCUAACUACGUG
RNAcentral lists this ribosomal RNA (458 nucleotides) under uncultured bacterium. Its description in RNAcentral is "partial 16S ribosomal RNA". It matches the Rfam family "Bacterial small subunit ribosomal RNA", at positions 30 to 507 of the family's 1533-position model. The record is from RNAcentral.